Molecule: ribosomal RNA, 991 nt
Filed under: uncultured bacterium
Lineage: Bacteria
Description: bacterial SSU rRNA
Rfam family: Bacterial small subunit ribosomal RNA
Source: RNAcentral
AUUGAACGCUGGCGGAAUGCUUUACACAUGCAAGUCGAACGGCAGCACGGAGAGCUUGCUCUCUGGUGGCGAGUGGCGAACGGGUGAGUAAUAUAUCGGAACGUGUCCAAUAAUGGGGGAUAACGAGUCGAAAGAUUCGCUAAUACCGCAUACGCCCUACGGGGGAAAGCAGGGGAUCGUAAGACCUUGCGUUAAUGGAGCGGCCGAUAUCUGAUUAGCUUGUUGGUGAGGUAAAGGCUCACCAAGGCGACGAUCAGUAGCUGGUUUGAGAGAACGACCAGCCACACUGGAACUGAGACACGGUCCAGACUCCUACGGGAGGCAGCAGUGGGGAAUUUUGGACAAUGGGGGCAACCCUGAUCCAGCCAUUCCGCGUGAGUGAAGAAGGCCUUCGGGUUGUAAAGCUCUUUCGCAAGGGAAGAAAACUUAUGAUCGAAUAAAUCAUGAGGUUGACGGUACCUUGAUAAGAAGCACCGGCUAACUACGUGCCAGCAGCCGCGGUAAUACGUAGGGUGCGAGCGUUAAUCGGAAUUACUGGGCGUAAAGCGUGCGCAGGCGGUUUUGUAAGUCGGAUGUGAAAUCCCCGGGCUCAACCUGGGAACUGCGUUCGAAACUGCAAGGCUAGAGUGUGUCAGAGGGGGGUAGAAUUCCACGUGUAGCAGUGAAAUGCGUAGAGAUGUGGAGGAAUACCAAUGGCGAAGGCAGCCCCCUGGGAUAACACUGACGCUCAUGCACGAAAGCGUGGGGAGCAAACAGGAUUAGAUACCCUGGUAGUCCACGCCCUAAACGAUGUCAACUAGUUGUUGGUAGAGUAAAAUCUAUGAGUAACGUAGCUAACGCGUGAAGUUGACCGCCUGGGGAGUACGGUCGCAAGAUUAAAACUCAAAGGAAUUGACGGGGGCCCGCACAAGCGGUGGAUUAUGUGGAUUAAUUCGAUGCAACGCGAAAAACCUUACCUGGCCUUGACAUGUACCGAAUUGAGCAGAGAUGU